CCUACGGGUGGCAGCAGUGGGGAAUAUUGGGCAAUGGGCGCAAGCCUGACCCAGCAACGCCGCGUGAAGGAAGAAGGCUUUCGGGUUGUAAACUUCUUUUCUCAGGGACGAAGAAAGUGACGGUACCCGAAGAAAAAGCAUCGGCUAACUCCGUGCCAGCAGCCGCGGUAAUACGGAGGAUGCGAGCGUUAUCCGGAUUUAUUGGGUUUAAAGGGUGCGCAGGCGGGAGAUCAAGUCAGCGGUAAAAUGUCGGGGCUCAACCCCGGCCGGCCGUUGAUACUGGUUGUCUAGAGUUGGAGAGAAGUAUGCGGAAUUCGUGGUGUAGCGGUGAAAUGCAUAGAUAUCACGAAGAACUCCGAUUGCGAAGGCAGCAUACCGGCUCCAUACUGACGCUGAGGCACGAAAGCGUGGGGAUCGAACAGGAUUAGAUACCCUGGUAGUC
RNAcentral lists this ribosomal RNA (442 nucleotides) under uncultured bacterium. Its description in RNAcentral is "partial 16S ribosomal RNA". It matches the Rfam family "Bacterial small subunit ribosomal RNA", at positions 338 to 795 of the family's 1533-position model. The record is from RNAcentral.